This is a long non-coding RNA of Colossoma macropomum (tambaqui), 220 nucleotides long. RefSeq lists it as uncharacterized. NCBI's taxonomy places the organism in Eukaryota, Metazoa, Chordata, Actinopteri, Characiformes, Serrasalmidae. The record is from RefSeq and is a predicted model, not a curated record. The transcript is spliced from 4 exons.
AUCGCAGCGAGAGGGAUAUCACUGGCAACACAGGCUUCAACAGUAUGAUUUCACCAUUUUGAUACUACAGCUGGUUCUCUGGUUAUGUCCCACUACAUACUUUAAUGAAGUGUGACGAAAUGGCAGAAGAACAUGAAGCUGCUUUUGAUUGUACUGGAUGGCUUCGCUUCUUCCUGUUCUGCAUCUGGCUUUUCGACAUCGGGCUGAUAUUCACUGUUAC